Molecule: ribosomal RNA, 254 nt
Filed under: uncultured bacterium
Lineage: Bacteria
Description: partial 16S ribosomal RNA
Rfam family: Bacterial small subunit ribosomal RNA
Source: RNAcentral
GACGAACCGUGCGACCGUUAUUCGGAAUCACUGGGCUUAAAGCGCGUGUAGGCGGAUGGGCACGUCGGUAGUUGAAAGCCCCCGGCUCAACCGGGGAAGUGGUGCCGAAACGACCCGUCUGGAGGGACGUAGGGGGACCUGGAACUUCCGGUGGAGCGGUGAAAUGCGUUGAGAUCGGAAGGAACGCCCGUGGCGAAAGCGAGGUCCUGGACGUCUACUGACGCUGAGACGCGAAAGCUAGGGGAGCAAACGGG